ACACGGAGGGUGCGAGCGUUAAUCGGAAUUACUGGGUGUAAAGCGUACGUAGGCGGUUGGUUAAGUUAGAUGUGAAAGCCCCGGGCUUAACCUGGGAACUGCAUUUAAAACUGGCGAACUAGAGUUGAGUAGAGGGGAGUGGAAUUUCAGGUGUAGCGGUGAAAUGCGUAGAGAUCUGAAGGAACACCAGUGGCGAAGGCGACUCCCUGGACUCGAACUGACGCUGAGGUACGAAAGCGUGGGUAGCAAACGGGAUUAGAAACCCCAGUAGUCC
Molecule: ribosomal RNA, 274 nt
Filed under: uncultured bacterium
Lineage: Bacteria
Description: partial 16S ribosomal RNA
Rfam family: Bacterial small subunit ribosomal RNA
Source: RNAcentral